GAUGAAGAACGUAGUGAAAUGCGAUAAGUAAUGUGAAUUGCAGAAUUCAGUGAAUCAUCGAAUCUUUGAACGCACCUUGCGCUCCUUGGUAUUCCUUGGAGCAUGCCUGUUUGAGUAUCAUGAGCAAAUCUCAAAGUCGAUCCUUUUGUUAAUUCAAUUGGUUUGCUUUGGACUUGGAGGCCUUGCAGAUUUCACCGUCUGCUCCUCUUAAAUGCAUUAGCUGGAUCUCAGUAUUAUGCUUGGUUCCACUCGGCGUGAUAAGUAUCACUCGCUGAGGACACUGUAAAAGGUGGCCAGGAAAAUACUGAUCGAACCGCUUCUAACGGUCUAUUAACUUAGACAAUUACCCUUAAGUUUGAUCUCAAAUCAGGUAGGACUACCCGCUGAACUUAAGCAUAUCAAUAAGCGGAGGA
RNAcentral lists this unclassified non-coding RNA (413 nucleotides) under soil metagenome. RNAcentral describes it as "partial contains 5.8S ribosomal RNA, internal transcribed spacer 2, and large subunit ribosomal RNA". The stretch from base 1 to 120 matches the Rfam family "5.8S ribosomal RNA", at positions 35 to 154 of the family's 154-position model. The record is from RNAcentral.